RNAcentral lists this long non-coding RNA (217 nucleotides) under Lathyrus oleraceus (garden pea). RNAcentral describes it as "Pisum sativum (pea) long non-coding RNA (PSAT_LNC039064)". The record is from RNAcentral. Lineage: Eukaryota; Viridiplantae; Streptophyta; Magnoliopsida; Fabales; Fabaceae.
GAAGAGAAAUUUAAAUUUUUGCCUCUAUGGAUUUCACCCACAAGUUUCAAUCACUUAUUUAUUUCAUCAAAGAAAUAACUAUUUAAAUAUAAUAUGGAAAUUGGUCUUGUGAAGCUUUGAUUCAAAUAAAGAAAAAACUAUGUUUCGAAUCAAUUUGAGCAGAGCUCAAAUGUGGCUUCAUGAAGGCAUUUGAUUCGAGUCAGAAUUUACACUUGAU